AAGAAAGCACACUUCAAUUAUACAUUAAACAGUGCCAAUCUUUGUUCAGGUAACGAAACCGCAGACUGCUCAUUAGUACGCUCAUAACCUGCAGGAUUGCGACUCCUCGUCUGUUUUGGAGAGCUGCAGUAAUUCUGGAGCCCAUACUUGCACUUGUAUCAAAGUAAGUGAAGUAAGCUCGUAAAGUUAACAUACAAGGGGAGGUCCAUUGGAUGAGUGUUCUAUUAGGCCUAACCGAGUAUCUGUCCCUUGGUGGCCAAUUACGGGUGACGGGCGAUUAUCGUCGGAUUGCCCGUGAAGGAGCCUGAGAGACAGCUACUAUGCCUACGGGCAGCAGCAAGCGCGAAACUUACCCACUCGAUGGAGUAGGAGGUAAUAAUGACUAGUUCCAACUGUGAAUUUCGGACCAGAUUGGAUAGAUUGGCUUUUCAAAGUUGUCAAGCAAUCUAGCAGAGGGCCAGGCUGGUGCCAGCAGCUGCGGUAAUUCCAGUUCUGCGAGAUUGCUCCCAUUUUGUUGCAGUUAAAACGCCCGUAGUCAGAAGUCUUUACAAGGAAGGACAAGACCGUCCACCGUGAAUAAAACAGGAUGCUUAGGGUUGCUUUUGUUGAAUAUGUAAGCUAGGUCUAGAGUAUUUACCUAUUUAGGGUAAGGUAAACGAGAGUCAAAGGGUGUGGUGGUAUUCCGUGGCGAGCGGUGGAAUGCUCUGACACAAUUGGAGACCAACGAAAGCGAAAGCAGCAACCGAUACGUUUUCUGUCGAUCAAGGGCGAGAGUAAGGGGAUGCGAACCGGAUCAGAGACCAUUGUAUUCCCUACUGUAAAAGAUCUCGAAAAGCGGCUAUCCAAGUCAGAGUAAUACCUGUUGAGUAAUCGUAGUUAGUGGACUCUGGGGGAACACGAUCGCAAGAGUGAAACUUGUAGGAAUUGACGGAAGGGCACACAAGGGGUGGAGCCUGUGGCUCAAUAUGAAUCAACACGGGGACACUUACCAAGACUAGAUGCUUUGGUGACUGACCGUCGAAAGGACAUUCAGGAAAGAUUUUUGCGUGGUGAAUGACCGUUGGUACUGCGUGGGUUGACCUAUCAUUCGUUGAAUCAAGUAACGAGCGAAACUACCGCCGUCUAUUCUUGAGUUGCGAUUGAUAGAGAGGCGAGAUCGAGGGAGUACAGCAUGGUAUCAACCGAGAGGAAGGAGGUAGUAAUAACAGGUCCGUGAUGUACUUUAGAUCCCCUGGGCUGCACGCGUGCUACAGUGAGCAUGAUAAAGAGAAGCGAUAUUGAGAAGUAGAGCUACUCACUAAUCAAGCCCGUGGUUGGGAUUGAGAUUUGUAAUGAGACUCAUAAACCAGGAAUCCCUGGUAAGCGUGUAUCAACAGCGCACGUUGAAUACAUCCCUGCCCUUUGUCCACACCGCCCGUGGCUCCUCCCGAUUGGAUGACCUUGUGAAAACAUCGGACUAUUAGGAAGGUGUUGACAUCAUGUUAUCCAGAGGAAGGAGAAGUCGUAACAAGGUAACG
This 1517-nucleotide ribosomal RNA is filed under the name Teranympha sp. Ra2Tera1b. RNAcentral's name for it is "SSU rRNA". It matches the Rfam family "Eukaryotic small subunit ribosomal RNA". The record is from RNAcentral. Lineage: Eukaryota; Parabasalia; Trichonymphida; Teranymphidae.